UACGUAGGGGGCAAGCGUUGUCCGGAAUCAUUGGGCGUAAAGCGCGUGUAGGCGGUUCGGUAAGUCCGCUGUGAAAGUCGGGGGCUCAACCCUGGGAUGCCGGUCGAUACUGGCGGACUAGAGUCCGGAAGAGGCGAGUGGAAUUCCCGGUGUAGCGGUGAAAUGCGCAGAUAUCGGGAGGAACACCAAUGGCGAAGGCAGCUCGCUGGGACGGUACUGACGCUGAGACGCGAAAGCGUGGGGAGCAAACAGG
Molecule: ribosomal RNA, 253 nt
Filed under: uncultured bacterium
Lineage: Bacteria
Description: partial 16S ribosomal RNA
Rfam family: Bacterial small subunit ribosomal RNA
Source: RNAcentral